AAUUAUAAUAAUUUGGAGGGAAAGGGGGUUGCAUCUUCCAUUCCAAGGGAGGCUCCUGCCUUCCUUAGCAGACACCUUUCUUUCAAACCAAGUGGUCACACCUCUGAGGUCUAACAGAAAUCCCUGGAGACCUGGGAUUUCAGCCAGCCAAGAGCUCCCUCCAAGUGCAGCUUGCUCUUCCUCUUGAGGACUGCAAGGCCUGACAGCAGGGAGAACAGUGAGUGGCGUGAGCCCUUGAGGAACAGGGAGAGGGUGCCUGGGUACACAAGACCAUGUGUAAAACAAACUAAGGAGCAAUACCAGCAGCAAGACAAACCAUGGUGAAAUUACACGUGCUCGAGGUCUCAUUCUGCAGCACUCUCUGUGCCCAAGCAUAGAUAUUUUCCUAGUUGCUUGUGUCUUCAUUGCAGAUUCAGAACAAUGGGCACCUUCCAUGUGAACUUCCAGUCUCUCCAGAAGCCUGUUGUGAAGAAGCCCUCCAAGGGAGACUACAAGAAGUGAGGGGAAAGUGACCAGGGAAGUGCUCAGCGUGAAGCAGAAGCCUGCAAGACAGCACUGAGGACAGUACACAUUCCUGGGAGAGCAGCAGAGCUGGGUUUGUCAACCAGUCUGAGACGGGAGCAAGGUGGAUGGCAAUCACAGGUGUGCCUCAGUAGCACCCAUGUCCCUGGGCCUCAGAGGAAGGGAGACCAUGGUGCAAAGGGCAUGUGUGGGGCUGAGUCAUACUCUCCUCUCAGUACUGGUCCAAACAUGGGACAUCAUUAAACCACCUUUGCUGUGACCAAAAAUGCACCAAAUGUACCCCCCUUGGCCCAGUAACAUAUGUGCAGCAGAGUCCUAGGUGAGACAGGGACACUCCUGUUCUAUUCGCAAGGGGAAUCCCUAAACUCCAGCCAUAAGGCUCAGAGUCCAACUUGGGAAGAGUGCCAUAACAGGCAACAACUGAGGGGUUCCCCCUUCACGUUUUG
Corvus hawaiiensis (hawaiian crow) is the source of this 968-nucleotide long non-coding RNA. RefSeq lists it as uncharacterized. The record is from RefSeq and is a predicted model, not a curated record. Lineage: Eukaryota; Metazoa; Chordata; Aves; Passeriformes; Corvidae. The transcript has 3 exons.